AGUCACUCCAUUCGCGGGUGUCCACGGCAUAGUUGGGGUUAAGCCACUUAGCCAUAGAGGCAAGUGAAUGCGCAACAAGGGAUCUCUAACCUUCAAACCGUUUGAGGGAGAAUACUCUAUGAUAUGAUUAAGAAUCUCUGGCCAGAGUAUGAAUAAGAUUUAGGAAGUCAUUCCAAAUCACAUUCAAGGUAAUCAUAUAAGUAAAUGACUCACAUUGGAUAGUAGACAUGAAUAAACUAUCAAACCAAACAAUGUGGUCAAGAGUAUUGUGUUAGAGAAAGACCGUAUUGCAUUGUAAUCCUAAACUGAAUAGGUCACCACCUCUUCUGAUUAGCUUAGGUAACCAUGACAUACUGCUAGGUGUCACU
Molecule: long non-coding RNA, 368 nt
Filed under: Malus domestica (apple)
Lineage: Eukaryota; Viridiplantae; Streptophyta; Magnoliopsida; Rosales; Rosaceae
Description: long non-coding RNA (MDOM_LNC008233)
Source: RNAcentral